AUUUAAAGAAAGCGUAAUAGCUCACUGGUCGAGUCGGCCUGCGCGGAAGAUGUAACGGGGCUAAACCAUGCACCGAAGCUGCGGCAGCGACGCUGAUGCGUUGUUGGGUAGGGGAGCGUUCUGUAAGCCUGUGAAGGUGUGCUGUGAGGCAUGCUGGAGGUAUCAGAAGUGCGAAUGCUGACAUAAGUAACGAUAAAGCGGGUGAAAAGCCCGCUCGCCGGAAGACCAAGGGUUCCUGUCCAACGUUAAUCGGGGCAGGGUGAGUCGACCCCUAAGGCGAGGCCGAAAGGCGUAGUCGAUGGGAAACAGGUUAAUAUUCCUGUACUUGGUGUUACUGCGAAGGGGGGACGGAGAAGGCUAUGUUGGCCGGGCGACGGUUGUCCCGGUUUAAGCGUGUAGGCUGGUUUUCCAGGCAAAUCCGGAAAAUCAAGGCUGAGGCGUGAUGACGAGGCACUACGGUGCUGAAGCAACAAAUGCCCUGCUUCCAGGAAAAGCCUCUAAGCAUCAGGUAACAUCAAAUCGUACCCCAAACCGACACAGGUGGUCAGGUAGAGAAUACCAAGGCGCUUGAGAGAACUCGGGUGAAGGAACUAGGCAAAAUGGUGCCGUAACUUCGGGAGAAGGCACGCUGAUAUGUAGGUGAAGUCCCUCGCGGAUGGAGCUGAAAUCAGUCGAAGAUACCAGCUGGCUGCAACUGUUUAUUAAAAACACAGCACUGUGCAAACACGAAAGUGGACGUAUACGGUGUGACGCCUGCCCGGUGC
Molecule: ribosomal RNA, 764 nt
Filed under: Escherichia coli
Lineage: Bacteria; Pseudomonadati; Pseudomonadota; Gammaproteobacteria; Enterobacterales; Enterobacteriaceae
Description: partial 23S ribosomal RNA
Rfam family: Bacterial large subunit ribosomal RNA
Source: RNAcentral